Molecule: microRNA, 22 nt
Filed under: Mus musculus (house mouse)
Lineage: Eukaryota; Metazoa; Chordata; Mammalia; Rodentia; Muridae
Description: mmu-miR-3099-3p
Source: miRBase by way of RNAcentral
UAGGCUAGAGAGAGGUUGGGGA